AUUAGAUACCCUGGUAGUCCACGCCGUAAACUAUGGAUGCUAGCUGUUAUUCGUAUCGACCCGAGUAGUAGCGAAGCUAACGCGUUAAGCAUCCCGCCUGUGGAGUACGGUCGCAAGACUAAAACAUAAAGGAAUUGACGGGGACCCGCACAAGCGGUGGAGCGUGUUGUUUAAUUCGAUGGUAAGCGAAGAACCUUACCCAGACUUGACAUCCUUGGAAGCACUGCGAAAGCAGAGUGUGCCUCCGGGAACCAAGUGACAGGUGUUGCAUGGCCGUCGUCAGCUCGUGUCGUGAGAUGUUUGGUUAAGUCCAUCAACGAGCGCAACCCUUGUGGCUAGUUGAAUUUUUCUAGUCAGACUGCCCUGGUAACAGGGAGGAAGGAGGGGAUGAUGUCAGGUCAGUAUUACCCUUACGUCUGGGGCUACAAACACGCUACAAUGGCCGGUACAAAGGGCUGCCAAGUCGCGAGACGGAGCAAAUCCCAUCAAAACCGGUCCCAGUUCGGAUUGCAGGCUGAAACUCGCCUGCAUGAAGUCGGAAUCGCUAGUAACGGUAGGUCAGCACACUACCGUGAAUACGUUCCCGGGUCUUGUACACACCGCCCGUCAAACCAUGAAAGUCGCCAAUACCUGACGUCUUAGCUAGUCUAGGCCUAAGGUAGGGGAGAUGAUUGGGGUUAAGUCGUAACAAGGUACC
This 697-nucleotide ribosomal RNA is filed under the name uncultured Candidatus Saccharibacteria bacterium. RNAcentral's name for it is "bacterial SSU rRNA". It matches the Rfam family "Bacterial small subunit ribosomal RNA", at positions 777 to 1500 of the family's 1533-position model. Lineage: Bacteria; Candidatus Saccharimonadota. The record is from RNAcentral.